Molecule: long non-coding RNA, 753 nt
Organism: Nannospalax galili (Upper Galilee mountains blind mole rat)
Lineage: Eukaryota; Metazoa; Chordata; Mammalia; Rodentia; Spalacidae
Exons: 3
Source: RefSeq, a predicted model, not a curated record
CACCCCCGCUCCCCUCCCCGCCUCCCCUCCAGCCCGUUGCGCGUCCCUUCGGAAGCGCCGGGUCCCCACUUCCCUUCGGAGGAGGGCGGCAUUGGGAGACAACACCUGCACCGCACGCUGUGGCCAGGACAGUGAGCGAUCGCGCAGGGCAGGGCGCUAGGUGCCCAGGGACUGCUGCGGGCCUUCGUUGUCAGCUUCCCUUUUAUUCUAACUACCUGUCUGAACAGCAAGGCAGAGACGAUCAAAGAAAGACCAGCCCCUCCCAGGGAGUUCCUCCAUUAGCAUUUGAGGAAUGAAUGCUCUCCCUGGAGCCAGGCAGUAGUGUCCCGUCCAGGCCCUGUGUCUUGAGCCCUGUCCCUCUGCUCUCUCUUCUUUUGUCGCCUCUACUCUUCCACGUUACACAGCCUCGUCUUUCCCCUCUCCCACUUGGGAGUUUGCAGUGUGGACGCCCUAGGAACACAGAAUAUUUAUUGAGCAUCUACCAUGUUCUAGUCACCAUGACAGGCACUGGGAAUAGAGUGGGACCAGGAAAGACAAGUCCCUCUGCAGGGAUUAAUGGAUCAUUGACCCUAUGGUACCUGGGGCCUGGAGGUGGGCCUUUGAAGUCUAUACCUGCCACUUAUUCAGGUCUACAGCUCUCUGCUUCUGGAUCCACUAAGAUAUAAGGAGAUUUUGCUUCACAUUCUUCACAUUCCAAACAGAGCCACCACAGCCCCAUGCAUUCCCCACCAUGAUGGACUAUAUUUCUGUACU